RNAcentral lists this long non-coding RNA (267 nucleotides) under Volvox carteri. RNAcentral's name for it is "long non-coding RNA (VCAR_LNC001932)". Lineage: Eukaryota; Viridiplantae; Chlorophyta; Chlorophyceae; Chlamydomonadales; Volvocaceae. The record is from RNAcentral.
GCCUCUCGCCCAAAGGCCUAUAUCGACAGGUUCCGACUCCUGGUCGAACGGAUCGACCAAAUGUGGAUGUUGAGGCUGAUGAAACCGCCUGCGAUGGCCCUGCUGGCCCCGACCACCUUGAUGAUAAGAACCUCGGCUGCGCACACCGAGAGGGUUUCAAUCCGUGCGUCCUCUAAAUGGCCUUCGGUGCUCUGCCUCGUAAUGGUCCACUGCAGAAGCGAAUUGAGGCUAGUGAAAAAUUACGUAUUGAUUCGGCCAGAGGUACGC